GCCGGGUGCGGUGGCUCCCGCCUGUAAUCCCGGAAUCUUGGGAGGCCGAGGCGGGUGGAUCACCUGAGGUCGGGAGUUCGAGACCAGCCUGACCAACACGGUGAAACCCCGUCUCUA
Macaca fascicularis (crab-eating macaque) is the source of this 117-nucleotide unclassified non-coding RNA. It matches the Rfam family "Metazoan signal recognition particle RNA". Rfam says of the family: The signal recognition particle (SRP) is a universally conserved ribonucleoprotein. Lineage: Eukaryota; Metazoa; Chordata; Mammalia; Primates; Cercopithecidae. The record is from Ensembl.